RNAcentral lists this ribosomal RNA (405 nucleotides) under uncultured Cenococcum. RNAcentral's name for it is "eukaryotic LSU rRNA". The stretch from base 106 to 259 matches the Rfam family "5.8S ribosomal RNA". The record is from RNAcentral. Lineage: Eukaryota; Fungi; Ascomycota; Dothideomycetes; Gloniales; Gloniaceae.
AACCUUUGACGAUUGACUCACGUUGCCUCGGCGGGUUCGCCCGCCAGAGGAUACAUCAAAACUCCUGUUUUAACGGUGUCGUCUGAGCUACAAGCAACGAAUUAAAACUUUCAACAACGGAUCUCUUGGUUCUGGCAUCGAUGAAGAACGCAGCGAAAUGCGAUAAGUAGUGUGAAUUGCAGAAUUCAGUGAAUCAUCGAAUCUUUGAACGCACAUUGCGCCCCUUGGUAUCCCGAGGGGCAUGCCUGUUCGAGCGUCAUUUCACCAUUCAAGCCUGGCUUGGUGUUGGGCGACGUCCCCUUUGGGGACGCGCUUCGAAACGCUCGGCGGCGUGGCACCGGCUUUAAGCGUAGCANAAUCUUUCGCUUUGAAAGUCGGGGCCCCGUCUGCCGGAAGACCUACUCA